This 460-nucleotide ribosomal RNA is filed under the name uncultured bacterium. Its description in RNAcentral is "partial 16S ribosomal RNA". It matches the Rfam family "Bacterial small subunit ribosomal RNA", at positions 338 to 795 of the family's 1533-position model. The record is from RNAcentral.
CCUACGGGUGGCAGCAGUGAGGAAUAUUGGUCAAUGGACGAGAGUCUGAACCAGCCAAGUAGCGUGAAGGAUGACUGCCCUAUGGGUUGUAAACUUCUUUUAUAUGGGAAUAAAAUGAGCCACGUGUGCCUUUUUGUAUGUACUUUAUGAAUAAGGAUCGGCUAACUCCGUGCCAGCAGCCGCGGUAAUACGGAGGAUCCGAGCGUUAUCCGGAUUUAUUGGGUUUAAAGGGAGCGUAGGUGGGUUGUUAAGUCAGUUGUGAAAGUUUGCGGCUCAACCGUAAAAUUGCAGUUGAUACUGGCAGUCUUGAGUACAGUUGAGGUAGGCGGAAUUCGUGGUGUAGCGGUGAAAUGCUUAGAUAUCACGAAGAACCCCGAUUGCGAAGGCAGCUUACUAAACUGUGACUGACAUUGAGGCUCGAAAGUGUGGGUAUCAAACAGGAUUAGAUACCCCUGUAGUC